AGUCGCCGCGGUAAUACGGAGGGGGCUAGCGUUGUUCGGAAUUACUGGGCGUAAAGCGCACGUAGGCGGCUUUGUAAGUUAGAGGUGAAAGCCCGGAGCUCAACUCCGGAAUUGCCUUUAAGACUGCCGAGCUAGCAGGUGAGAGAGGUAAGUGGAAUUCCGAGUGUAGAGGUGAAAUUCGUAGAUAUUCGGAAGAACACCAGUGGCGAAGGCGGCUUACUGGCUCAUACUGGGCGCUGAGGUGCGAAAGCGUGGGGAGCAAACAGGAUUAGAUACCCGCGUAGUCCCUGUCUCUUAUACA
This 301-nucleotide ribosomal RNA is filed under the name uncultured bacterium. Its description in RNAcentral is "partial 16S ribosomal RNA". It matches the Rfam family "Bacterial small subunit ribosomal RNA", at positions 510 to 808 of the family's 1533-position model. The record is from RNAcentral.